CCGGCGAUGUCCGAAUGGGGAAACCCAGUGCAAUUCGUUGCACUAUCGUUAACUGAAUACAUAGGUUAACGAGGCGAACCGGGGGAACUGAAACAUCUAAGUACCCCGAGGAAAAGAAAUCAACCGAGAUUCCCCCAGUAGCGGCGAGCGAACGGGGAGCAGCCCAGAGUCUGAAUCAGCUUGUGUGUUAGUGGAACGGUCUGGAAAGUCCGACGGUACAGGGUGAUAGUCCCGUACACCAAAAUGCACAGGUUGUGAACUCGAAGAGUAGGGCGGGACACGUGGUAUCCUGUCUGAAUAUGGGGGGACCAUCCUCCAAGGCUAAAUACUCCUGACUGACCGAUAGUGAACCAGUACCGUGAGGGAAAGGCGAAAAGAACCCCGGCGAGGGGAGUGAAAAAGAACCUGAAACCGUGUACGUACAAGCAGUGGGAGCACCUUCGGGUGUGACUGCGUACCUUUUGUAUAAUGGGUCAGCGACUUAUAUUCUGUAGCAAGGUUAACCGUAUAGGGGAGCCGCAGGGAAACCGAGUCUUAACUGGGCGUUAAGUUGCAGGGUAUAGACCCGAAACCCGGUGAUCUAGCCAUGGGCAGGUUGAAGGUUGGGUAACACUAACUGGAGGACCGAACCGACUAAUGUUGAAAAAUUAGCGGAUGACUUGUGGCUGGGGGUGAAAGGCCAAUCAAACCGGGAGAUAGCUGGUUCUCCCCGAAAGCUAUUUAGGUAGCGCCUCGUGAAUUCAUCUUCGGGGGUAGAGCACUGUUUCGGCUAGGGGGUCAUCCCGACUUACCAACCCGAUGCAAACUACGAAUACCGAAGAAUGUUAUCACGGGAGACACACGGCGGGUGCUAACGUCCGUCGUGAAGAGGGAAACAACCCAGACCGCCAGCUAAGGUCCCAAAGUCAUGGUUAAGUGGGAAACGAUGUGGGAAGGCACAGACAGCCAGGAUGUUGGCUUAGAAGCAGCCAUCAUUUAAAGAAAGCGUAAUAGCUCACUGGUCGAGUCGGCCUGCGCGGAAGAUGUAACGGGGCUAAACCAUGCACCGAAGCUGCGGCAGCGACACGAUGUGUUGUUGGGUAGGGGAGCGUUCUGUAAGCCUGCGAAGGUGACCUGUGAGGGUUGCUGGAGGUAUCAGAAGUGCGAAUGCUGACAUAAGUAACGAUAAAGCGGGUGAAAAGCCCGCUCGCCGGAAGACCAAGGGUUCCUGUCCAACGUUAAUCGGGGCAGGGUGAGUCGACCCCUAAGGCGAGGCCGAAAGGCGUAGUCGAUGGGAAACAGGUUAAUAUUCCUGUACUUGGUGUUACUGCGAAGGGGGGACGGAGAAGGCUAUGUUAGCCGGGCGACGGUUGUCCCGGUUUAAGCAUGUAGGCUGGUUAUCCAGGCAAAUCCGGAUAAUCAAGGCUGAGGUGUGAUGACGAGGCACUACGGUGCUGAAGUAACAAAUGCCCUGCUUCCAGGAAAAGCCUCUAAGCAUCAGGUAACAUCAAAUCGUACCCCAAACCGACACAGGUGGUCAGGUAGAGAAUACCAAGGCGCUUGAGAGAACUCGGGUGAAGGAACUAGGCAAAAUGGUGCCGUAACUUCGGGAGAAGGCACGCUGGUGUGUAGGUGAAGUCCCUGCGGAUGGAGCUGAGACCAGUCGAAGAUACCAGCUGGCUGCAACUGUUUAUUAAAAACACAGCACUGUGCAAACACGAAAGUGGACGUAUACGGUGUGACGCCUGCCCGGUGCCGGAAGGUUAAUUGAUGGGGUUAUCCGUAAGGAGAAGCUCUUGAUCGAAGCCCCGGUAAACGGCGGCCGUAACUAUAACGGUCCUAAGGUAGCGAAAUUCCUUGUCGGGUAAGUUCCGACCUGCACGAAUGGCGUAAUGAUGGCCAGGCUGUCUCCACCCGAGACUCAGUGAAAUUGAACUCGCUGUGAAGAUGCAGUGUACCCGCGGCAAGACGGAAAGACCCCGUGAACCUUUACUAUAGCUUGACACUGAACAUUGAGCCUUGAUGUGUAGGAUAGGUGGGAGGCUUUGAAGCGUGGACGCCAGUCUGCGUGGAGCCAACCUUGAAAUACCACCCUUUAAUGUUUGAUGUUCUAACGUGGGCCCCUAAUCGGGGUUGCGGACAGUGUCUGGUGGGUAGUUUGACUGGGGCGGUCUCCUCCCAAAGCGUAACGGAGGAGCACGAAGGUUAGCUAAUCCUGGUCGGACAUCAGGAGGUUAGUGCAAUGGCAUAAGCUAGCUUGACUGCGAGCGUGACGGCGCGAGCAGGUGCGAAAGCAGGUCAUAGUGAUCCGGUGGUUCUGAAUGGAAGGGCCAUCGCUCAACGGAUAAAAGGUACUCCGGGGAUAACAGGCUGAUACCGCCCAAGAGUUCAUAUCGACGGCGGUGUUUGGCACCUCGAUGUCGGCUCAUCACAUCCUGGGGCUGAAGUAGGUCCCAAGGGUAUGGCUGUUCGCCAUUUAAAGUGGUACGCGAGCUGGGUUUAGAACGUCGUGAGACAGUUCGGUCCCUAUCUGCCGUGGGCGCUGGAGAAUUGAGGGGGGCUGCUCCUAGUACGAGAGGACCGGAGUGGACGCAUCACUGGUGUUCGGGUUGUCAUGCCAAUGGCACUGCCCGGUAGCUAAAUGCGGAAGAGAUAAGUGCUGAAAGCAUCUAAGCACGAAACUUGCCCCGAGAUGAGUUCUCCCUGAGACUUUAAGUCUCCUGAAGGAACGUUGAAGACGACGACGUUGAUAGGCCGGGUGUGUAAGCGCAGCGAUGCGUUGAGCUAACCGGUACUAAUGAACCGUGAGGCUUAACCUUACAACGCCGAAG
Molecule: ribosomal RNA, 2810 nt
Filed under: Klebsiella quasipneumoniae
Lineage: Bacteria; Pseudomonadati; Pseudomonadota; Gammaproteobacteria; Enterobacterales; Enterobacteriaceae
Description: partial 23S ribosomal RNA
Rfam family: Bacterial large subunit ribosomal RNA
Source: RNAcentral